This is a long non-coding RNA of Bombus impatiens (common eastern bumble bee), 309 nucleotides long. RefSeq lists it as uncharacterized. NCBI's taxonomy places the organism in Eukaryota, Metazoa, Arthropoda, Insecta, Hymenoptera, Apidae. The record is from RefSeq and is a predicted model, not a curated record. The transcript is spliced from 3 exons.
UCGUUGGUAAAUCGCGGCGCGGGGUGUCAUUCUAGUGUGGAUAAUCGAAGCGAUUAGAUGUGUGUCCGUGUAUCUUUACGAUUAGUGCCGAUCUUUCUACUACGUAGUAUUACAGGAACGCCAUGAAACUCAAACGGACGCCAUAAUUGAUGAUGAAUCCGAUACCUUUUAUGGAUAUUUGGAUUAUGGAUGAUUUCUUCCAGUCUUCGUCUCUUGCAGUGGGAUUCGGUGAUUCCUAUUUACUGACGGUCUUCAUAAUGACUUCUCCUGAACCACAACGACAUCGAUGAUAACGUUCUUGGCGUUUAA